This 93-nucleotide transfer RNA is filed under the name Hypoxylon sp. CI-4A. It matches the Rfam family "tRNA". Rfam says of the family: Transfer RNA (tRNA) molecules are approximately 80 nucleotides in length. Lineage: Eukaryota; Fungi; Ascomycota; Sordariomycetes; Xylariales; Hypoxylaceae. The record is from Rfam by way of RNAcentral.
GCGGGGAUAGCUCAGCUGGGAGAGCGUCAGACUGAAGUCCACUUCUGUCUUCCGAUCAUCUGAAGGUCGUGUGUUCGAUCCACACUCACCGCA